Molecule: ribosomal RNA, 505 nt
Filed under: uncultured bacterium
Lineage: Bacteria
Description: bacterial SSU rRNA
Rfam family: Bacterial small subunit ribosomal RNA
Source: RNAcentral
AGAGUUUGAUCAUGGCUCAGGACGAACGCUGGCGGCGUGCUUAACACAUGCAAGUCGAACGGUAAGGCCCCUUCGGGGGUACACGAGUGGCGAACGGGUGAGUAACACGUGAGCAACCUGCCCUUGACUCUGGGAUAACAGUUGGAAACAGCUGCUAAUACCGGAUACGACCCUGGAUGACAUCGUCCGGGGUGGAAAGCGCUUUAGCGGUCAAGGAUGGGCUCGCGGCCUAUCAGCUUGUUGGUGAGGUAACGGCUCACCAAGGCUUCGACGGGUAGCCGGCCUGAGAGGGCGACCGGCCACACUGGGACUGAGAUACGGCCCAGACUCCUACGGGAGGCAGCAGUGGGAAUAUUGCACAAUGGGCGCAAGCCUGAUGCAGCAACGCCGCGUGCGGGAUGACGGCCUUCGGGUUGUAAACCGCUUUCAGUUCCGACGAAGCGCAAGUGACGGUAGGAACAGAAGAAGGACCGGCCAACUACGUGCCAGCAGCCGCGGUAAUACA